This 70-nucleotide transfer RNA is filed under the name Neotoma lepida (desert woodrat). It matches the Rfam family "tRNA". From Rfam's summary of the family: Transfer RNA (tRNA) molecules are approximately 80 nucleotides in length. Their secondary structure includes four short double-helical elements and three loops (D, anti-codon, and T loops). Lineage: Eukaryota; Metazoa; Chordata; Mammalia; Rodentia; Cricetidae. The record is from Rfam by way of RNAcentral.
GGUGAGAUGGCUCAAUGGUUAAGAGCACUGACUGCUCUUCCAGAAGACCUGGGUCCCAUUCCCAGCACCA